GUGAGGCUUCUCUUUGGCGGCGGGGAGGAGCCUUGCAGUGCAUGCACCUUCGGGGCUUUUGGUCAGCCGCGGACAUGCUCUGCCCAGAGUCCCUGGAUUCCUGCUUCCUCCCGGAGGCCUCGGGAUGAAAGCCGGAGCUCUGGCACCUCACAGCUCUAGGGAUGCUUUUUGUUCUCUCAGAGGCGUGACGGGCAGAGCGACUGUCAUCCAGAGGGAGGCUCAGAACGCUGGUCUGUAUUCUGCCAUGCAAGGAGGAAGCACAGCAAAUCAGCAGUGGUGCUGAGUGUGAAAAUCCUUCAGCUUUGUGAAGUUCAGCCCCAUCAUUUUUAGGCCCGCUAAGCGACAAGGCAUGUUUAGCCCACAUCGAGUGACCAGAAGAUACCUUUCCAGUCAAGUUGAGGAAUUCUAUAGACACACCAUUUCAGCUUCUGCCUGCCCUUUUGAGCUCAUGCCUGCAUAGAGGUCCGACCAGAAAAACAUCACUCAAACUCUGAUUUGCGUUGAAACCUCAGUGUUGUGUUGAAAAUGCCUCAGAACCCACCUGCACUCAUUCAGUGAUGAAUUUCUUGUAACCAGAGUUCUGCCUUGGUGUCUUUGGAAGUCAGAAGUGUAGCUGGCCCCUCCACUGCCCUGUGUUCAGAAACUCUGAUGUUGGAGUCAAGAUGGCAGCAACUGCCAUUCCUCUAAUAUAUGUUCAAUCAUCUCUGUAUCCAGUGUCUCCUGAGAAAGGACACAUGGGCAAAGAAGGGCUAACCAAUGAGUUCUUAACAAGCUUGUUACAGGAGUUGGUGUCCUUUGAAGAUGUGACUGUGCAGUUCACACAGGAGGAGUGGGAUUUGUUGGAUCCUUUACAAAGAACUCUGUAUAGGACAGUAAUGCUGGAAAACUGGAAGAACCUGGCCUCACUCGGGCAUCACCUUGAUAAACCAAAUCUGAUAUCCCAUUUGGAACAAGAAGACAGGGAUAUGAGAGAGGACAGAAGAAUUAUUCCAGGCAUCUGUCCAGAUUUGGAGACUGUACUUAAAGACAAAUGGCUAACUCCUAAGAAGCAUAUUUUUAGAAAAGAACAUGCUAAUGGUGGAAAAACAGUGAAACUAGAGAAAAGAGGUCAUCAUGGAAUGAAAAUCAAUGAAUGCAAUCAAUGUUUUAAAGUCUUCAGCACGAAAUCUAACCUUACUCAGCACAAGAGAAUUCAUACUGGAGAAAAACCCUACGAUUGUAGUCAGUGUGGAAAAUCCUUCCGCAGCAAAUCUUACCUUACCGUUCACAGAAGAAUCCAUAAUGGGGAGAAACCCUUUGAAUGCAGUCACUGUGGGAAAGCGUUCAGUGAUCCCUCAUCCCUCAGACUUCAUGUAAGAAUUCACACUGGAGAAAAGCCCUAUGAAUGCAACCAGUGUUUUCAUGUCUUUCGUACCAGUUGUAACCUCAAAAGUCAUAAGAGAAUUCACACGGAGGCUGAAAAUCACCAUGAGUGUACUCAGUGUGGAAAGGCCUUCAGUACAAGGUCCUCGCUCACUGGACAUAAUAGCAUUCAUACUGGAGAAAAACCAUUCGAGUGCCAGGAUUGUGGGAAAACCUUCAGGAAGAGCUCAUAUCUAGCCCAGCACUUAAGAACUCACACUGGAGAGAAGCCCUAUGAAUGUAAUGAGUGUGGGAAGUCGUUCAGCAGUAGCUUUUCUCUAACUGUACACAAGAGAAUACAUACUGGAGAGAAACCAUAUGAAUGCAGUCACUGUGGAAAAGCUUUUAAUAAUCUCUCAGCUGUAAAGAAGCACUUAAUGACUCAUACUAGGCAAAAGCCCUAUAGAUGUAACCAUUGUGGAAAAUCUUUCACCAGUAACUCUUACCUCUCCGUGCACAAAAGAAUACAUAACAGUAUCCAGUGUCCGUCGCUUUGUCCUGUGUAGAGCAACAAGAUGGCUCAGUGGGUGAAGGUGCUUGCUGCCAAACCUGAUCACCUCAGUUCAGUCCCCAGAACCCAUACAAUGAGUAGAGAAUGGACCGCCAGUUGUCCUCUGACAUCACACACAUGUCAGCCCAACAACAACAACAACAAAAUUGUUUUAAUCUGAGAAAAGGAUGCCCUAAAUGACAUUGGAAAAGGAAGCUAAUGAAACAAGAAACUCAUCAAACCUUCAGGACUCAAAAUGUUCAAGGGCCAUCCUCCAGGAUAUGAAUAGUAAAUAAUUACUGCUCAAGAGAAUGUUUGUGUGUAGAGUUUCCAAUAAAUUGAGAAGGGAGCCCCACGGAUACAGCUACAUUGUUGGGGUAGUGUUUUUUGGUGUUACAGAUGCCUUUGAGUCAUCCUUACUUCAGUAAGUAACCUUCAGGAAUUCAUUAGUUUGCCAAGCCAGGCUUGAUGAAGUUCUUUCCUUGAGCUGGCUCUGGUGCCCUAUUUUAUAUCUCCACCGACAGUCACACAACACAAACAGGGCACUCAUACAGGGACAGACACAACUAAAGAUGUCUUUGGGUGGAGGAGUAGCCACAUUAGCUCUGAAUGGGAUUUGAGAUGUACAGCUGAAGCUGAUCCUUGUGCAGGUGGAGUAUCCUUUUGGGCAGUCCUGAGAAGGGAAUCCCAUGUGGUAGGAGAUAGUAUGGCUCCUUGCUUUAGUGGUAGUUUUAUGCUGUCUGAUAUCGAUGAUAAGAUGUGCAACCAAGGCAGAACCAUCUGAAUAUGGAGUAUCUCCAGGGUAACUGAAUUUAAUUUCUGUGGCUGUGAUAAAACACAAAAAAAGCUACUUAGGGGAGGACAGGAUAUAUUUUAUCUUGCACUUCCAAGUCACAACCUGUUAUUGAGGGAAGUUAGGGUAAGAACUCUAAGCAGAAACCAUAGAGGAAUGCUUCUUGUUCACUUCCUGGUUCAACCAUAGGAUCAUGUUCAACUAGCUUACAUAACUAAGGACCACCUCCAUAUGUCCCACUCAGUAAGUAGGCCCUCCUCUGCCAAUUAAGACAUCUCCCAACAGGCCAAUUUGAUGUAGGCAAUUGCUCAAAUGAGGCUCUCAAGUCUGAUGACUUGAGUUUGUAAAGUUGACCGUUAAAGCUAAUUAGGACAGUCUUUCUCUUCCUGGGAUGAGGUGACAUACCUUAUUGGAGUCCACUACAAAAGCAUGGCUGUGCUAGUUAGUAAAAAUGCCAAUGGAUUUGAGAACAUAGAAUUCCCAGUAGUGGUACUCUGGGACUAUAUUGUAAGCAGCUUGUGACAGUUGUAUGCCCUUUUGUGUGGUUGAUGAGAUAUACCAGACUCCACUGUUGCCUGUAAAGAACUUGUACAUGUAAUGGGAAAAUUGCAAGGAGAAAAACAAUACUAUUCUUCAUACCAAGACAGUUUACACUGUCCA
Molecule: RNA transcript, 3344 nt
Organism: Psammomys obesus (fat sand rat)
Lineage: Eukaryota; Metazoa; Chordata; Mammalia; Rodentia; Muridae
Gene: Znf558
Gene name: zinc finger protein 558
Exons: 10
Source: RefSeq, a predicted model, not a curated record